AACCUAUUAGCUCAAAUGGUAGAGCACUAUGGAGAUGCAUAGCGGAUGUAGGUUCGAUUCCUACAUAGGUUG
RNAcentral lists this transfer RNA (72 nucleotides) under Spinacia oleracea (spinach). It matches the Rfam family "tRNA". From Rfam's summary of the family: Transfer RNA (tRNA) molecules are approximately 80 nucleotides in length. Lineage: Eukaryota; Viridiplantae; Streptophyta; Magnoliopsida; Caryophyllales; Amaranthaceae. The record is from Rfam by way of RNAcentral.